ACGGGCUUUUGCAUCAACUUUCAAACAGAAAAAAACUUCUCGUCUCCGCCCAUUUCACAUUACGGUCAGGCGGCGGGUCUCGCAGCGCUUGUUGAGAUUGUGUGCGCACACAUUGCAGUUACGCCCCAAUCGCAACACGCGGCGCGUUUUUCUCUUGAAUUAUUUUUGCUUUAUUUUUGGCGAAAAUGAGUUUUCUUUU
This is a non-coding RNA of Caenorhabditis elegans, 199 nucleotides long. The record is from Ensembl. Lineage: Eukaryota; Metazoa; Nematoda; Chromadorea; Rhabditida; Rhabditidae.